This 326-nucleotide ribosomal RNA is filed under the name uncultured bacterium. RNAcentral's name for it is "bacterial SSU rRNA". It matches the Rfam family "Bacterial small subunit ribosomal RNA", at positions 28 to 334 of the family's 1533-position model. The record is from RNAcentral.
GACGAACGCUGGCGGCGUGCCUAAUACAUGCAAGUCGAACGCAUUUUCUUUCACCGUAGCUUGCUACACCGAAAGAAAAUGAGUGGCGAACGGGUGAGUAACACGUGGGUAACCUGCCCAUCAGCGGGGGAUAACACUUGGAAACAGGUGCUAAUACCGCAUAAUUCCAUUUACCGCAUGGUAGAUGGAUGAAAGGCGCUUUUGCGUCACUGAUGGAUGGACCCGCGGUGCAUUAGCUAGUUGGUGGGGUAACGGCCUACCAAGGCUGCGAUGCAUAGCCGACCUGAGAGGGUGAUCGGCCACACUGGGACUGAGACACGGCCCAG